CUGAGACAUAUGCACAGAGAUUGUUCAAUUGGCUUCAAUGGUGAGAAAAGCAGUCUAGCACAGUCUAAGCUUCCAAAUUUUAAUGUGCAUAUAAACCACCUGGGUGGGAGAGUGUAGUUAAAAUGCAGAUCCUGAUUCAGUAGGUCUGGGUUGGCCAAGGAUUCUGCAUUUCCAACAAGUUCCUAGGUGAUGUCCACUCUGAUGGUUAAAGAAUCAUACUUAGAGAGUGGCUGGGGUCUCUUGGUUUUAGAGAUCAUGCCCCUUAAUAAUAACUCCCUACUUUUUCAGAGUACUUUCACACUUCUGGUACCCUGUCUUCCUCACAAUAACUCUAGGAAGCAACUGAGGCAGAUGAUUUGAUCUCCUUUUUACUAACAAGGAAACUGAGUCUGGGAAAGGUUAAGUGCCCUGCCUAAAGUCCCCAGUGAACCUGUGACUUCUGUCUCUAUUUCAGAAGCAUUUCUAAUGAAUCCCUACCUCCUAGUGCUCCUCCAUAGAGAGUUAUUGUGGAAGCCACCAUGUAAAUAUCCAUCUUCAUAUUUGUUUUCAAUGUGUAAACAUUUAAAUCUGAUGGUGAGCCUCACUCAAACUUGGGCAUAAAAAGGGGAGACAAUAAUUGAUAUGGCUUAAAUCAUUUACAUGGGGUCACCUGGAUUUAUGAUGUUCAGGGAGACCACAGUAAGGCAGCACUGGCAGAACCUCCCAGUAGCCCAGCAGUAGAAGUAAUUAGUAAACCUACCUCAUGUCAGACUUUUGCAGUCUGGGGUAAGGUUUGUAGGGGUGUGAUCUGAAUCACAACAAACAGGAGUCUAUUUAAGAAUUCAUGCCUGGGAGUAAUUAUGGUCAUUAUGGAAUGCCUUCUCCAGACUGUGCUAUGAGAAGUAAUACAAGGCCCUCCAGGCUUGAAAGGUGGCUCCAUCACUCUCUGGUCCUGUCAACUCUGCCAAGUUACUUACCUUCUCUGAGCCUUAGUUUCCUCAUCUGUAACAUGGGGAUAAUAAUAGUACUUACCUAUGUCACAGAGUUUAUAGGAUGACUGAAUGAGUUCAUACUAGAUAAACUCUAUGAAUUUGCUGAUAUUAACCUGUUUUUUUGUUUUUUGUUUUUUGGUUUUUUUUGAGACAGAGUCUUGCUCUGUCACCCAGGCUGGAGUGCAGUGGUGCAAUCUUGGCUCACUGCAAACUCUGCCUGCCAGGUCCGAGCAAUUCUCCUGCCUCAGCCUCCUGAGUAGCUGGGAUUACAGGUGCGCAGGACCACGCCCGGCUAAUUUUUGUAUUUUUAGUAGAGACAGGGUUGGCCAGGCUGGUCUCGAACUCCUGACCUCGUGAUCCACCUGCCUCGGCCUCCUAAAGUGCUGGGAUUACAGGUGUGAGCCACCGUGCCUGGCCGAUAUUGACCUGUUCUUGACCUACAAUAAUGGCAGUUCCAUUUGGCCCAACCUAAUACAUGUAAAGUGUUUAGAAAGAUGCUGCUGGCACACAGUAAAUUCCCAACAAAUACCAGUGAUGAUAUCAUGUGCCAGGAUUAUGCUAAAUGCUUUACAUGUAUUCUAUCAUUUAGUCUUUGAAACAAUGUCCUGUGACAAUUGUUAUUAUUCCAAGUUUAUUAGUUGAGAAAUGUUGUCUCAGACCCUUUAAAGCAUCUUGCUCAGUUAAUAUGCGGAGGGCUGGAAUCGAACUCAGGCCAUUUUUGCUACAAAGCUCAAGCUCUUAAUCACUCUGGUGUAGUGCAAGGUUAAAUUGGGACACUGCUUGAAUUCUUCCUGAGGCUUUCAGAUGCAAGGCUUUCCUCCAGAGCAGUAGCUCUCAAAGUGCAAUCCCUGUCCCAGCAGUGUCAGUAUUACCAGGGAACUGAUUAGAAAUGCAAAUGCUUGGGCUCCACCCCAGACCUACUGAAUCAGGAACCUUAAGGGUGGGGUCCAGCAUUGUGGUUUAAUAAGCCCUCCCUGCAAUUGUGAUGUAUGCUAAGAAGGUUUGAGAACCACUUCUCUGGAGACACUGACUCAUACUUCGUUGGUAGUCAUCAUUAGGCUCAAUGAUUAUAACAGUAAAUGACUAAAGCAGUUUUGAACUCAC
Molecule: long non-coding RNA, 2075 nt
Filed under: Homo sapiens (human)
Lineage: Eukaryota; Metazoa; Chordata; Mammalia; Primates; Hominidae
Description: HSALNT0174063
Source: RNAcentral